AAGCAUGCGGACGUACGCCGACGACACGGCAGAAGAUUCGCCAGAGACGUGACUAUAAAUAUUGGGAAAUCACCCUGUCUCUCGCUCCAUCUACCGCAGCCAACCCAGUUCACUUCCCCUCAACAUGGCGUCCAGAACCAUGUUGGUCGUGUGUGUUAUCACGGCCAUGCUUCUCCUCUCCUCACGUGAUGUUGCAGCUGCCAGACAACUGCAUGCUCAAAACGAAGAUGGCGAUGCAAGCAAGGCGGUGAAGAAGGCCAAUCACGAGAAAACGAUCGGUGACUAUGCGACUGUCAAAGAAGAAUCACUAUAUACCGUGGAACCUCACCCUAAGCCGCCAAGUUACCCUCCUUAUAAAAACUAGUUGUGCAUUUGACACCAUUGUGAAAUGGUUAUGUUGCUUCUAUCUACCACUAGUAAUUAUGUGCAUCCUACGCACCAAACCUAUCAUCCAUUAUAUAUGAUGGAAACCACAACAAAUCAAUAUGUUACCUCUCUGGUAUUAUUUGUAUGUAAGAUCGUUGUAUACAUACCGCACUAGCUGAAGGUUAUUAUACAACCUUUGCUAUCAGUACAACAGUGCUCUUGGAGUACGAGUUUGUCCGAAUUUGGGACACAUAUAUAACUUAUCAAUAAAGAGAGUUAUGGAUGGUGUAUUUCAG
RNAcentral lists this ribosomal RNA (662 nucleotides) under Triticum aestivum (bread wheat). Its description in RNAcentral is "partial small subunit ribosomal RNA". Lineage: Eukaryota; Viridiplantae; Streptophyta; Magnoliopsida; Poales; Poaceae. The record is from RNAcentral.